This is a long non-coding RNA of Dreissena polymorpha, 2042 nucleotides long. RefSeq lists it as uncharacterized. The transcript is spliced from 2 exons. NCBI's taxonomy places the organism in Eukaryota, Metazoa, Mollusca, Bivalvia, Myida, Dreissenidae. The record is from RefSeq and is a predicted model, not a curated record.
UGUUCUAAUCAUUUCCAAUUCUCUUUUCAGCAAUGAAAGUCAGUUUGGGCAGGCCGGUGAAGGUAAAUAACUUCCUAAUCACUCUAAACAUAACGCUUAUUGCAAAUAGAAAUCUUAAGAAGAUGGAGGCUUGUGAUGUGGAGGCCAUCAAGAAAAUCUCAACUGCGUCUUCUAACAAGGCUGCCAUUGAUGCUUAUGAGAAAGAAAUGGAUUCGAGGUACAGUAAUGCCUGAUAUUACUCAGAUUGCUGCUGUGCAUUUGAAGACGGGUUUUAAGUUCUCGGCAUAUGUGAAGACAACAGUCCCAAUUUCUUCCGAAGCUCAGAAAGUGAUUGGCAUCUAUGUUGAUGAUCAUGGCAUAAUGCGUGUAAAUGGUGGAAGUGUUGAUAGUGUAUCAAUUAAAACUUCUCUACAUGAUUGUAUGAUGUGGCAUGCAAAGUUUCCCAGAGCCAGUUUUGUUGCUCAUAAUGGGCGCAGGUUUGAUUUUCCGGUUUUGGUUAGUGCAUUGCUGAACACACACUGUUUUGAAACGUUUUGUAAUUGUGUAAGCAGUUUUGUUGACUCUUUGCCUGUUUUCAAAAAUCGUAUCCUGGACAGUCACACAAACAGGAAGAUCUAGUGAACGUGUUCUCCAGGCAACCUGCAACGCCCACAGUGCUCCUGAUGAUGUUGAAGCGCUGGGAUCUUUGCUUAAAACAUGUAAAAUUACUGACAAUAUGGCCCACAUCGUUACUGUUACUGCAAUCCAUAAUUCAGUUUGGUUAAGUCACGAAAAGCCAAAGAACAUUAGAUUGUAAGACGUGCUGUUGCAUAGAGGAACUCUAAAGCGACCAACAGCUGAAAACAUUGCGGGAUAUUGACUGGCCUUAUGUCAUUUGAAAGCCAUAUUUUCUAGUUCCGGAGAGGAUGACUUUAGGGAUACUUUCAUUGCUAAACACAAUUAGGGACUACCAAAAGUCGCAAUCGCAAAAAAAUGUUUUAUCUGAAGUGGUCCCUAAAAUCGGUCAGUUUUUCCGUGACGAAAAGUGACGGAACGAGAUAAUAUGGCUUUCAAAUGACACGCGGCCUGUCAAAAUCACGCAAUGGCUUUAUACUGACACUAAAUUAUGUAAAUCUAGUUGUCAUUAAUCUAGCUGUUUUUAUUAAAAUAUAAGUUGUAUAUUAUUGUGCAACAUGUUUAAAGAAACAUGAUAACUUAUACAUCUUUAUGCUACGUAAUAUUGGGACAACUUUGACAUUUUGUGGUGAACUGCGUCUGUAUUCAUAUGUUGCCCUUUGACUUUCAUAUGUACAUGCACCUUGAUAAGUUCUACACGCCACACCCAUUUUUGGGUCACUAGGUCAAAGGUCAAGGUCACUGUGACCUCUAAUAUAAAACUUUAACAUUACCUCUAACAUCAUAGUGCUUCCACCUACAACUUUGAAACUUCAUACGUACAUGCACCUUGAUGAGUUCUACAUGCCACACCCAUUUUUGGGUCACUAGGUCAAAGGUCAAGGUCACUGUGACCUCUAAUAUAAAACUUUAACUUUGCCUCUAACAUCACAUUACUUCCCACUACAACUUUGAAACUAAAUAUGUAGAUGCACCUUGAUGAGUUCUACACGCCACACCCAUUUUGGGUCACUAGGUCAAAGGUCAAGGUCACUGUGACCUCUAAAAAAAAUAAUCUGACAAGCUUUCGCAGCCGAGCGUUGCACCCGUUAUGCGGUGCUUUUGUAAAUGUAUUAUUAUAUCAAUAUUAAUUCAAAGUUAGCUAAAUUUCUUCGCAUGUCAUGGUUUAUAUAUAUCUGUAGCUUUUAAUAAGCAACUAGAAAACCCCCAAAAAGAAGUGAUAUACAAAUUUAUACUUAAAUUCAUUGCGUGAAAAUGAAUUGGGGUAGGCAUACUCAAAGUAAAAUUUCUUGAGAUAGGAACGGUAAAACGUCCUGAAAUUCAUUCAGUGUGUAGAAAAUAUGUUUUGUUAAAUCAAUAUGUACAAUAUAUGCAUUUCAUCACACUACAAGUGACAUAAAACGUAAUUAAAAUUUCUUGUCACUGAA